GCCCUCGAUGGCGAUGUCGAAGUCUCGAUCAGUGAAGACGCGCUUGACGAAAGUCGCGAAGUCCUGCGUUC
RNAcentral lists this small RNA (71 nucleotides) under Sinorhizobium meliloti 2011. RNAcentral's name for it is "putative ncRNA". Lineage: Bacteria; Pseudomonadati; Pseudomonadota; Alphaproteobacteria; Hyphomicrobiales; Rhizobiaceae. The record is from RNAcentral.